RNAcentral lists this non-coding RNA (520 nucleotides) under Pongo abelii (Sumatran orangutan). The record is from RNAcentral. Lineage: Eukaryota; Metazoa; Chordata; Mammalia; Primates; Hominidae.
UCAGCGCGCGCGCCCAGCUGAUCAAUGCCUGCGAGGCCCGGCAGUCCCAGGCUCGCCCCGGCCCGGCCGCCGGCCCGCGCGCACCUGCAGCCGCUGCACGUCUUAAGUUUCGAAACAGUCCCCCUCUCCGCCCUGGGGGAGCCGGGGAGGAUGUGCAGCCCCACUCCUCCUGCUCGGCGGAGCCUCGCGCGCGCAGAGCCUAGCGCGAUUCGCGCCCUCAUUACCACUACAAAGCGCGGGCCAGACCAAUCCCCUUUCUAAUGCACCAUUUUCGAAUGAGAACAUCAAGAGGCCAGAAACUUCCAAGUCAGCUUGCAGACGCAGACGCCUCCUGGGGUCCUGGCUUUAAGAACCAGAUGCCAACAUUCCCGGACAGUUUAUGGCAUCCGGAUCCCUCAAGGGUGCUCAUCUGCAGUUGAGAGUGUUAGUAGCAAUUAUUUAUCAUCUCUCCUGGAGAGGAGUUCCUGAACGUAAAUGUCCUCUGCUGGCCCUAAAGCUGUGUUGUGGGGUGGGGGUUGGG